This 6882-nucleotide long non-coding RNA is filed under the name Sus scrofa (pig). Its description in RNAcentral is "lncRNA (ENSSSCG00055027933.1, ENSSSCG00065000781.1)". The record is from RNAcentral. Lineage: Eukaryota; Metazoa; Chordata; Mammalia; Artiodactyla; Suidae.
UCUCGGUCACCGGAGGUCUAGGGGCCUGAGUCAGGAAAGAAAAAUGUGAUGCUACUCUUGGUUAUGGUUCUUCCUCAUCGCUACCACUUUUGCUGAGAACCCCUUAGGGCAUAUUGGGUGGAGCUGUGCACACAGCAAGUGCUAAAUAAAUGUUCCCUGAAUAGUGUGCUGGCGGUGCCUCGGGCUCUUGGCUGCCUGAGCUGCGGGUCUGGACAGUAAAAAUAGUAACAAUAAGGGACAUUUUAUUGAGCACCAGCCACUAUACAUCCAGCCUCCACGUGAAGCUGCGAUAUUAUUCCCAUUUUCCAACGGAACAAACCACAGCUCAGAGAGACCAUUCCUCCAUGCUUACUCCGCAGCGCCAGUGUCUCAGCUCACAAUGAAGGGAGCAAAGUGUCGCCUCUGAAUCUGUUACAGAGGCUUUUCUUAGAAGGCCAGGGGGCUGAAGGCAAAGCUGGAGUGGCAGAUUCCACACUGAACUUGAUAUCUUGCUCUCCAAAGAUUAAGAGACUGAAGCUCAGAGAGGUGAAUCACCUGCUGGAGGUCACACAGCCAGGAAGAGGUGGAGCCUGGAUCUCCUGUCCCUGGGCCCUUUGGAGCAGGUGGGCCUCCAAAGAUACACUCUGCUGAGUUCCUGCCGGGUGAGGAGGACUGUGGAUCUGUGCACAACCCUCUCCCUGGGCCCCAGGAACACCAAGAGCCCAGGUCCUACCAGCCAGGCAGCCUUGUGCCUGCCAGCCCUGCCAGCUUCUCUGGGCCAGAUCCAUCACCCCAGCACCAACCAUGCCCUGGGCCUGACUCCAUCCAUCCGGCAUCGACUGUGCUUGGGCACAUUCCUGAGGCGCUGAAUAAUUCAGCUGUAGGAGGUUGCUGCUGAUGGCUCCCAGCUGCCCCUUCGCUGGGGAUGAGCUCACAGCCAAACGAGGGCCAUGCCCCGCAAGGCCGCCCCACACUGCACGACCUGAGCAGACUGUGGCCAGUGACCGGCUGAUGUGGUGCAAAAGGCCACCCCAAGCCUCAAGGUAGGAUGAACUCUGUGAUGCUGUUCAAGCUCCAGAAGUCUCGGUGGGACCAGGCUGUGGCUCGGCCCCAGCUGAGACCACUUUCUGGCUCAGCCUUUACCCCUUCCCCAUCCUGUCUCCUCACUCUCCUUCUCAGAGCCUUUCCCUGUAAAUCAUCUGAGUGCAAACCCCCAACCCAGGCUCUGCUUCUGGGGAACCCUCCUGAGAUAGCUGCAUUUCCUGGUCUGAGCCUUUCUUUCUUAGGUCUCCUUUCUGAGUGCUAAGAGAGGCUCAGAAGCAGUCCUUGGCUCUGGCUCUGCCGUAUGAUGGUGAGGAAGUCAUUUCUCCACCCUGGGCCUCCAUUUCUUUGUACGGCUGGGGUGAGAGGGUGGCCCUCUCUCAGGACUCGUCCAGCUCUGAAGGUCUGUGAUACAACCUGAGAUGCCAGGAAGCCUUCUCCUCCCCUACCUAGCCCUGCAUGUACGUGAAAUCCUGCUGUUGGGGUCUCUUCUCUGAAGGCUUUUUCAAAAUGCAAAGACAUAUGAGAUUAGAAUGAGUUUCAUAUUAGGUGAUCAUGCUGCAGGGCAGAAUUUCUCAGGGUAGGAUGCUUGGAUUAUCUGAGUCCAUCACCUGAAGAGGUGCUUAUUUUUACUAUAUCUCUUCCCUUCUUCAUAAUUUUUUUUUGAAUAUGGUAUGUGAUGUCUGGAGCUGCAGCAGCUAUCUUUCAGUCAUGAAGAAACAGCAUGAGGUGUUAACAACAAGCUAUGGGUGGUGAAGCAGAAAUAUAGAAAGAAACUGGUUUUCAAUAGUAUUUCUGAGUCAUUGCACAAAACCUGAAAACUGUCUCUAAAUCUCAGGACAUAAAAUAAUUAAGUAUCUUUAUUGCUCAAGCAAGCCCUGGUUAACUUCCUGUUAUUUGCAGGGCAAAACAUUCCAAACAAAUCAACAGCCUUUUUAAAAUUUAAAAAAUUUUAAAAUUUAAGUAUAGUUGACUUACAGUGUUGUCUUAAUUUCUGCUGUACAUACAGCAAAGUGAUUCAGUUAUACAUAAUACAUAGAUUUAAAAAAAUAUUCAUUUCCAUUAUGGUUUAUCACAGGACAUUGAAUAUAGUUCUCUGAGCUAUACAGUAGGAUCUUGUUGUUAUCCCCUCCAUGUAUAAUAGCUUACAUCUGCCAACCCCAACCCCCCACUCCAUCCUUCUCCCAACCCCCUUCCCCUUGGCAACCAGAAGUCUGUUCUUCUGGUCUGUGAGUCUGUUUCUAUUUUGUAAAUAGGUACAUUUGUGUCAUAUUUUAGAAUUCACAAAUAAGUGAUACCAUAUGGUAUUUGUCUUUUUAACUUCACUUAGUUGGAGAAUCUCUAGUUCCAUCCAUGUUGCUGCAAAUGGCAUUAUUUCAUUCUUUAUUAUGGCUGAGUAGUAUUCCAUUGUGUAUAUAUACCACAUCUUCUGUAUCCAUUCAUCUGUUGACAUUUAGGUUGUUUCCAUGUCUCGGCUGUUGUGAAUAGUGCUGCUUUGAACACAGGGGUGCAUGUAUCUUUCUGAAUUACAGUUUUGUUUGGAUAUAUGCCCAGAAGUGGGAUUGCUAGAUCAUAUUGUAGUUCUAUAUUUAGAUUUUGAAGGAACCUCCAUACUGCUUUCCAUAGUGGUUAUACCAAUUUACAUUCCCACCAUUAAUGUAGGAGGGUUCUCUUUUCUCCACACCCUCUCCAGCAUUUUUUAAAAUAGAUUUAUUGAUGAUGGCCAUUCUGUCCAGUGUGAAGUGAUACCUCAUUAUAGUUUUGAUUUACACUGCUCUAAAGUGAUGUUGAGCUCUUUUUUUCCCCUUUUCUUUUUAUGGCUGCAUAUGUGGUGUGUGGAAGUUCCUGGGCUAGGGGUUGAAUCAGAGCUGUAGCUGCAGGCCUAUGCCACAGCUAUAGUGACACUGGAUCUGAGCUGUAUAUGCAACCUAUGCCACAGCUUGUGGCAAUGCUGGAUCCUUAACCCACUGAGCAAGGCCAGGGAUUGAACCCACAUCCUCACUGAGACUAGUUGGGUCUUAACCCUCUGGUCUACAAUGGGAACUCCAUUUUUUCAUGUGUCAAUUGGCCUUCUGUAUGUCUUCUUUAGAGAAGUGUCUGUUUUGUUCUUCUGUCCAUUUUUUCUAUUGAGUUUUUUUUUUUUUUUGGAUACUGAGUUAUAUGAGCUGUUUGUAUAUUUUGGAAAUUAAGCCCUUGUUGGUUGCUUCAUUUGCAAAGCAUUCUGUAGAUUGUCUUUUUGUUUUAUGAUUUCCUUUGCUGUACAAAAGCUCGUAGGUUUAAGUCCCAUUUGCUUAUUUUUGUUUUUAUUUCUGUUGCCUUGGGAGACAAAUCAAGCCUUUAUCUUGUUGAGUCAUAAUAAAAAUCUUUUAAAGUAGGGAUUAUUAUUUUUGGCUCAGAGAGGUUAACUGACAUAGCUAAGAUCAUGUAGCUGGCAAGUGGGAGUAUGCUUUUGGGAUGGAAUUUUCAGGUUGGGAGGAACUUUGGUUAUUUUGAUUUGUUUUGUUUAUUUGUUUGUUUGUCUUUUUAGGGCUGCACCUGCAGCAUAUGGAGGUUCUCAGGCCAGGGGUUGAAUCAGAGCUGUGGCUGCUAGCCUAAGGCACAGCCACAGCAACGCCAGAUCUGAGUCGUGUAUGCAACCUACACCAGAGCUCAUGGCAAUGCUGGAUCCUUAACCCACUGAGCGAGGCCAGGGAUCAAACCUGCAUCCUCAUGGAUACUAGUUGGAUUCGUUUCCGUUGAGCCACGAUGGGAACUUCAGAACUUUGAUUAUUGAUGAGUAUUUAAUUCCUGUCUUCACUGCAUGUGUCCUAGUGUAUUUUGACCACUGGGAGUAGAUCCCCUCUCUUGCCACUCUGGCCUUUGGUCAUUCUUUCCUUAUCUAUCCCACUCUAGGUCUCAGCUUAGUGACUUGGGAAAGGUCCCUGGUGGAGUGAGGAGAAGGAGGUGGCAGGUAUUCACUGUAUAUUCCUUCAUGGGGUUUUCUGAAUGAGUGUGAGCAGAUUCAAGGGGAAAAUUAAAUCAUUUUGGAGAUGAUUCUGGCCUCUAAACAGUACUUGGCCCCUGUGGGAGGUUAGAGUGAAAGAGAGAAAGAUUUUAGAGACAAAAAUAGACAGAGGGAUGGAAGGAGAGGGUGAGAGAAGCAGAAGUUGAGGAGGAGGAGGGCAAAAGGAAGGGAGAAGAGAAGGAUGCCUUGGCUUGUAGAUCAUCCCUCCAGCCUCUGCCUGCAUCUUCACAUUGUGUUCUCCCUGUGUCUUUGUUUCCAAAUCUCCCCCUUACAAAGGACACCAUCACAUUUGAUUAGUGGCUCCUGAACUCCAGUAUUACCUCAUCUCAACUAAUUGCAUCUUCAAUGACCCUGUUUCUCAAAUAAGAUGACAUUCUGGAGUCAAGGGUUAGGACUUUAACUUAUCUUUUGGGGGGGACAUAAUUCAACCCAUAAUAUAUAGUUAUCAUUUUUAGCCAUGGUUUGCAAGUGAUUUGUUAUGCUGCAGUAGUUACUCAGAACAUCGCAAUUAAGGAGUGGUUAGGGAAGCAAGUAAAACAUCAGUGGAAAUGUUGUUUACCAGAACAUCCCUCUAGGAGGCUACUGUAUGUGGUUGCAAUAAUUGAUUUUCUAAAUAGCUUGGGAUUGGGGGUGGGGGCUGGAUCCUCCCUGCAAAAGGUUAUGUUCCAGUAAUAACAUGUGCUUGAAUAAUGACAGACGUUUUCCCUAAUGCCUUCUAAGGUAGGCAAAGAGCUGAGUUUUGCUUUGUAAGGUAUUCCUUCCCCUUAAAUAAAUGUUGAAUAUUUACUUAAAGAGAAUCAAUGUGAGUAUUAGAGUGUUCCUGCCCUCCAUAUAUCUCAGCAUGGUCAUGUUUAUUAACACCUAUGUCAUCAUAUCACUGAUGAACUGUGGGCUGCAGUUGCCUGGUUAAGUGUCUGAUUUCUCCAUAGACUGUAAGCAACCCUGAGAGCAGGGAUAAGCUCUUUCUUGCUCUCCCCUGAAUCUGAAGUGCAGCUUUUGGCACAUAGUAGGUGCUUAAUGGUUAGUCUCUGAAACUAUGGAUAUUGGAAAAAGAACAAAGUGAUUUAAAAUCUAUAUGGUGAUGAAAGGUUUACAGAUAUAUCAGCUACAAAACAUCUAAGGAUGCUAGAAAAAAUAUUUUUGAAAUUCUCUUCUGUUAAUGGAACAGUCUCUAAGAAAAAAAGGGAAUUGUGAGAGGUCAGGAACAAAUUGUAAACAUCAGUCCAGGGAAGUAAAUGUUUCUGAAACUGCUGUACAUAUUGAAGACUUCUACCUUGUUGGGCAGCCUAACGUUCCAUACCUUGAGCUUCCAUGGCACAAGAAAGACAAGGAAGAAGCAAGGGAUCAUAAACAUGACCAGGCAGUUUUGACAAAGAACAAAACAGAGGUUCUAGGAAUUUAAAUAUAUCACAUAUGAAAUUAAAAACUCAAUGGAAUGGUUAAAUAGAAUAGACACAGAUGGAGAGGGAAUUAGUAAACUGGAAGAUAGAUCCAGGAAAAAUGAAAAUACAAAGAAGGAAGGAAAAAUGAAGAUGUGAAGAAGAGGUUAAGUGACAUAGAUGAUGGAAUGUUAAGCUCUAAUAUAUGUCUAAUCAGAUUUUUGGAAAGCAAUUGUAGGAAUAAUGAGAGAGAUGUAAUAUUUGAAGAGAUAGUGGCCGAGAAUUUUCUAUGAUUAUUAAAAAAAAAUGAAUCUUCAGAUUCAGGAAUUCAAAUGAAUCCCUAAAAGGAUAAAUAAAAAGAAGUCCAUAUACAGAUACAUCAUAUCAAAUGGAAUAUCAAAGGCAAAGAAAUGAUCUUAAAAAUACCAGGAAGAAAAUAAAUUUUUGUUGUUUACAACUUCUAUAAUUAAAGGAAAUUAAUCUAAUGGUGAUUAGUUAUAAUGGUAUGAAUAAUAACCAUGAAUGACAGAAUAAUGACUUUAAAGGACUUUUAAAAAGUCAUACCAACUAGGGCCUGCAUAUCCCAGUCCCUAAUAAGACUGAAUAAUUUCUUAAAAGAUAAUUUAUCUUUUAAGAGUAAGUAUAGGAGUGUCCGCUGUGGCACAUUGCUUGGUUAAGGAUCUGGCAUUCCUGCAGCUAUGGCUUAAGUCGUAGCUGCAGCUCACAUUCUAUCCCUGGCUCAAGAACUUUCAUUUGUAAAAAGAGUUAAAACAGAUUCUAGGUAUGUACUAAAGAGAAUUGAAAACAUAUGUCCAUGCAAAAACUUGUACACAAAUGUUCACAGCAGCAUUAUUUAUGAUAGUGAGAAAGUGGAAACAACCCAUAUGUCUACCAACUUAUGAACAGAUAAACAAAAUAUGGUAUAGCCAUACAGUAGAGUAUUACUUGCCAUAAAAAGGAAUAAAGUUCUGAUUUUGGCAACAACAUGGAUGAACCUUGAAAACAUUAAGCUAAGCAAAAGAAGCUAGACACCAAGGUCACAAAUUGUAUGAUUUCAUUUAUAUAAAACAUAAUAGGCACAUCCAUAGAGAGAGAAGGUAGAUUUGCGGCUGCCAGAGGCUGGAGUGGAAUGUGCAGUGACAGCUAAUGGGCGUGGGGUUUCUUUUUUGAGUGGUGAAAUAUUAUAGAAUUAGAUAGUGGUGAUGUUUAUAAAACCUUAUACAUAUACUAAGUGGAGUUCCCUGGUGGUCUAGUAGUUAGUAGUUAGGAUUUAGUGCUUUCAGCACUGCAGCCUCAGUUCAAUCCUGGUCUGGAAACUGAGAUCCCAUAUUAAGCUGCUGUAUGCUGAAGCGCCCCCCCCCCCAAAAAAAAAAAUUCCCUGGUGGCUCAGUGGGUUAAGACUCUGGUAUUGUCACUGUUGUGAGACAGGUUUGAUUCCUGGCUUGCUGUGGACGUGGUCAAAAAAAUAAAAGAAAAAAA